GACGAACGCUGGCGGCGUGCUUAACACAUGCAAGUCGAACGGUAAGGCCCUUCGGGGUACACGAGUGGCGAACGGGUGAGUAACACGUGGGUGAUCUGCCCUGCACUUUGGGAUAAGCCUGGGAAACUGGGUCUAAUACCGAAUAUGACCAUGGACUUCACGGUUUGUGGUGGAAAGCUUUUGCGGUGUGGGAUGGGCCCGCGGCCUAUCAGCUUGUUGGUGGGGUAAUGGCCUACCAAGGCGACGACGGGUAGCCGGCCUGAGAGGGUGACCGGCCACACUGGGACUGAGAUACGGCCCAGACUCCUACGGGAGGCAGCAGUGGGGAAUAUUGCACAAUGGGCGCAAGCCUGAUGCAGCGACGCCGCGUGGGGGAUGACGGCCUCGGUUGUAACUCUUUCACCAGGACGAAGCGAGAGUGACGGUACCUGGAGAAGAAGGACGGCCAACUACGUAGCCAGCAGCCGCGG
RNAcentral lists this ribosomal RNA (470 nucleotides) under uncultured bacterium. RNAcentral describes it as "bacterial SSU rRNA". It matches the Rfam family "Bacterial small subunit ribosomal RNA", at positions 28 to 520 of the family's 1533-position model. The record is from RNAcentral.